UAUUUCACAUGGGCAUUGUGUGCAAGACCAGAAAAGGGUGUGGUUUUUUUUUUAUCAAAACGCCACAUCACUCUCUCUAUAAAUACUGAAAGAAAACAACUUGGCUGCAGAAACAGCUAAAUUACAAGACCAGUCUCAACAGUGCUGAUCCCUCUCUACACGCCUCAGAAUGUCUGACAAAGAAGAAUGUAAGAAGGUAAGACAUUCACCCUCAACUUACUUCAUAUAAAGAGAAACUUUAAAAAGUGGCUGUGUUAGAUGCACUAACAUGUAUAUUAAAUAAUCCUCUGUUCAUUUUUCUUUCUGUCAGGACAAAUGUUCUUCAAAAUCAAAAUCCGGAUCUGACUCUGACAGCUCUGAUGGUGAAAAAGGAAAGGGCCAUAAAAAACAUGGACAGAAGGGGAAAGGACAUUGUGGAAAAGGGGGAGAACAUGGGAAAGGAGAACAUGGGAAAGGAGAACAUGGAAAAAAGGGAGAACACGGAAAAGGAGGUUGUGGAGGAAAGGGAGAAAAACAUUGACAGCGACAUGUUGGAUCUCUGAGAAAAACUAUACGUCUUUACAAUCUUAAUCUAUUAUCAUUGAAAAGACACAAAAAAACAAUCCCAAUUGUUA
Long non-coding RNA from Anguilla rostrata (American eel), 614 nucleotides. RefSeq lists it as uncharacterized. NCBI's taxonomy places the organism in Eukaryota, Metazoa, Chordata, Actinopteri, Anguilliformes, Anguillidae. The record is from RefSeq and is a predicted model, not a curated record. The transcript has 5 exons.